AACGAACGCUGGCGGCAGGCUUAACACAUGCAAGUCGAACGGGUGCAGCAAUGCAUCAGCGGCAGACGGGUGAGUAACACGUGGGAACCUUCCUAGGGGUACGGAACAACUCGGGGAAACUUGAGCUAAUACCGCAUACGUCCGUGAGGAGAAAGAUUUAUCGCCCUUAGACGGGCCCGCGUCGGAUUAGCUAGUUGGUGGGGUAACGGCCUACCAAGGCGACGAUCCGUAGCUGAUCUUAGAGGGUGAUCAGCCACACUGGGACUGAGACACGGCCCAGACUCCUACGGGAGGCAGCAGUGGGGAAUCUUGGACAAUGGGCGCAGGCCUGAUCCAGCCAUGCCGCGUGAGUGAAGAAGGUCUUCGGAUUGUAAAGCUCUUUUGCCAGGGACGAUAAUGACGGUACCUGGAGAAUAAGCCCCGGCAAACUUCGUGCCAGCCGCCGCGGUAA
RNAcentral lists this ribosomal RNA (451 nucleotides) under uncultured bacterium. RNAcentral describes it as "partial 16S ribosomal RNA". It matches the Rfam family "Bacterial small subunit ribosomal RNA", at positions 29 to 523 of the family's 1533-position model. The record is from RNAcentral.